RNAcentral lists this long non-coding RNA (1603 nucleotides) under Amazona collaria (yellow-billed parrot). Its description in RNAcentral is "lncRNA (ENSACOG00000016693.1)". The record is from RNAcentral. Lineage: Eukaryota; Metazoa; Chordata; Aves; Psittaciformes; Psittacidae.
GGCAGUUUCUGUUAUGAAAUGUAUCACUGUGCCUGGGACGUGGAGCGCCACGGUGGUAUAAACAGCACAGGGCUCUGUACAAAUACCCAGAGAAGGAAAAAAGGCAAUAUAUAUAGGAAAAGAAAGGACAUGGGUGACUGAAAUAAUUCAGGAGACAAAUGCAACAUUAUUUCUAUUUAUCCUGGAAGCACAGAGCUCACAGGGUUUCAAAAAGACAGAAGGAAAAACUUGGAAACCUUUUACUCAGUCAAGCUUUUUGAAAUCACUGAACUAUUCAAUGACUGUUUUUACCUUUCCAUGUUCGGAAGAAAAUGUGGCUCUGGAAUACCCUUUUGGGGUUGCACACAUGGGUAAGUAGGACAAAUACCUGGCUUUUUAUCUUUUGUUUUUACAACACUUUCAAAUACCAUGGGGAAAGGAGUAGUUAUUGAAGCAGCUAUUACCAGUGUGGCUAACAUAAGCUGGUGUUUGGAAGUGGUACCACUCUCACAGUUGAACCAAACAUCCAAAACAGUUCUGUCCCACAAGUCAUUUUGAUGAAAUCAAAGAAACUGGAAGAAGACGGCAGCACUGGGAAAGCAGCUUGUUUGGCAAGGAAUGUCUAUACGAAGAACAUCAGUUUGGACAUGUCCUCUAAUGAAGUCCUAUAUGAACCAAGUGCAUCCAUUUUGACACCAGAGGGGUUGUAUGAUACUAUUAAGGUGGUGAGCGUGCCAAAAGGCGCAGAGGUGAACUGCAUGGCUGAAUUCAAUGGCAGCACUAUCACAGCCAGCACAAGCUUGGCAGAAGAGAAUGCUGAAGAGCCAGAAAUGGGAAAGGGUUGCAACACCACAGACACCUCUACACAAGGUACCAAAGUGGAAAAAGCAAACAUGCUGUCUAUGGCUGUGCUGGGUUUAAGAGUCCUGCUGGCGAAAAGCAUCGCCUUGAAUACACUCAUGAGUAUCAAGUUGUUUCUUUUCUGAGACAGAGAAGAACCAAGGCAACGACAACCUGAAAACAAGCAGGAGGGAGAGUGUACCAGCAGCGCAAUGGGAUGAACAACCAGUGUCAAAUCUGCUGGCAAUAACCAUCCAGAACACAAUACAGCACCUUCCCCUUAGAUAUUUUAUGCUUUGGAAUCCUGCCUAGCUGAUUUAGUUAUUUUUAGGAGUUGUAACCACUUUUGCUAUUCCUUUUCCGUCUGUGCCUGAGGAGAGUGUAUUUUUCCUCAUUCCUUUGCUAAGUGGAAUUUGAUCUCCCCUUUGAAUAGCCUUUGAAUAGAAGCAUCUCACCUACUUCAAUAGCUUUGAAAAAUCCAAUCCUCAUUAUAGACAUAUGAUACUUUUAAAACACCUUUUACAGGCAUAUUGCAUUACUGUUUGUGAACUGAUGUAUUGCUGUUGAGAGAAUUCGGGCACAGUAGAUGCUACUUGCAGCUUUAUUGUUUUUUAGAUAGCUUUAAUAACAAUAAUUUUCUAGUGUAGCAGAGAAGACCUUGGUUGGAUCUGAAGCGAUUCACUUCAACCAGAUAAUGUUCAACCGUAGAAGCAUUUCUUUAUUAAACCUGUAUUUCUUCUGCAAAGUGUAUGGCAUGUGCAUUUUAGGUUCCUGUGGUAGUGAC